UCUUUCAUUCUUUGACUCACAGACACGGUUCCAUGUGGUCACAAAUGUAACGCUGCCUCUCACUGCCCGCGGUUCCGAAGGCCUCACGGAGCUGGUGAGGAGGAUUCGCGGCGAAUCCAAGCCGCCCCGUCCUAGAGUGUGUGGUCUCUCAGGAGCAGAAACAGAGACGGUGGACUUGAGCGUCUUUCAAGCCCAUUUGUUCCCAUUGGAAACGUUCCUCAUCCUCCAACCGUGUCUGCAGGCAGAAGAAAGGCUUUGUGGACCUUUUGCCAAGACUGGCAGUGAUAGCAGACUCACUGGACACUUCUCUUCCUUUACCGCCAAGAACAACGGAGAAGGGCGUCCAGGCCCAGUGGUGUCAUGAGCAACGGGUCCUCAAUGCCUGGUGGGAGCUGAGAGACCAGCGGCUGGGCCUGUUACCAGUGGAUGCUGUGGUUCUCCUGAUGUUCCAGGGGCUGAGAUUCAUGGCGGAGCCCUUGAAACGUCUGAUCUGUUGUUCGUCCCAGUGCGCAAACGAGUACAGCUGCAUAGUUUUGUCAGGUACUUUCCUGACCAGCAACAAACUGAUGUUUAGAUGAUUGUUUCCAACAGUUUCGAGUGCGAUGGCGCUAAAACGGCAGGUGGUGAGUUAUUGAUGGAGGUCUGAUAACUUCCAGUGCAAGUCAACAGAAGCACCAGGAUCACACUUUCUUGCCUUAUCCCCAAUCUUUGGAGGAAAGAUUCAGUUUUUAGCAAUUAUGACGAUGUUAGCUGUGAGAGUUUUGUACAUUCCCUUCAUCAGCUGCUGUCUACAAAUUUUGAUGUGUGGUGUAUUCAUCUUCAUUGAAUCUUCACCAUUUUCUCUAACGCAUAAGAUCUGAUGUUGACAUUUAUUUUCAAGACCAAGUGCAUCAGAAGAUGUGUCUGUAAAGCUUAGGACAAUCAAGUCUAGGGUGUGUGAGUGGAGAGGCUUUUGAUUCUUCCAGCUUCAUUUCUACUCUUUGUCAAGCAUUCCAGCCAAAGCUAACAGAGUGCAGUGUUUCGUCAUGCCAAGAGCAGAGGAGUACAAAGUUCUUCAAGAUUUUGGAAAAGAUGAUUAACUACUUAAUCAGAAAUUCUCUCACUCCAGACAGUUCGAUUAGAUUAACUGGCAGUUCAGUGAAACAGUCCUGAAAAGACACUUUCCUUUUCCAUUUUUGCUUAUUGUCCCCAUGGCUAAAGAGCAAACACUGUUCUAAGGCAACAAAUAACUGGGUAAGAUGGUAUCACAAUUACACCGAAUUCUGAAGCUCUUGCCUUUUCCAGUGGAAUGGUAUCAUGUUAGGAAAUAACGUACAAACGUUAAAAUACACACACAUUGUUUUUGACAGUAUUCUUGUUUUUUGGCAUGAAAAAACUUUGGAGUAGUGCUAUAAUUUUUAUGACAAAUGUAGGCUUGUGUGUGUCUUGGGUCUUUCACGGUACAUCUUUGCAGGAGUUGAAGAUAAUAUUCUUGAUUCAGGCCGCAAAGCUAAGAGUAUAAUCCUGGUUUGAACUACGGGGCCACUUAUGGCACUAAAGUGGAAAGAGAAACAGAGAAACACAGAUCCGUAGUACAGUUUUGAAGGCUUAAUCUAUAUUUUCAACAUUAAAUAGUAGGGGAUAUAUUUAAUUGAUUGCAAUUAAUUUUCCCUUGAUAAUAAAGGAGAGCCAGGCAGGUAACUAUAGGUUUUUUUCAUUGCUAAUGUUUUCUAUUGCUGAAUAUUUGGUGUACGUUGUGGACCUGUUGCUGAUACUUUAGGGAAAAGUAAGAUGAAAAGCAAACCAACCAACCAGUACCAUCUCUUGAGUGAUCAACAUGGGUCCGGGCAAUCCCAAGUGGGUGCUGCCUCUUUGCUGACCUCCAGUGCCUCCUGUUUAUACUUGGGUAGCAGCACUUUUCAUGUUGAAGUUCAUACUUUAGUUAGGUCUACAUAAAGUGGAUAUUUUUAAAACCACCAUUUCAAUCCUUAGUGAUGAGGUCAAUAUUGUAUUCACUUUUAUCUCUCACUGUGUCUAAGAGCAGUGUGUUAGCUGUUAAAUUCAAAUGAACAAAAGAUUGUAAGCUUGAGCGACUCAUUUCCGAUAUAAAGAACAAAGGAUGUGAAAAGAACAUUAAAAAAUUACCAGGCAAUGCAGAGUGAUGUAAAAUAUGACACAAAUGAACCUUAAAAUGUGUUCAAGAAAUGAUGAUAGCUUCAUAAAGUUGAAACUCAAGGGCUGGGGAUUUAGCUCAGCGGUUCCACCAUCUGCCUCACAAGCACAAGGACCCGAGUUUGGUCUCCGGUACCAAAAAAAGAUGAAACUCAAAUAGGUGGAAAUAUUGUUUCUGUUGCAACUAUGUGGACUAUUGGAUCCUUCAGCUUCCCUGUUGCUGGGAAAAAACACAUGACAGGCCCGACUUAACAGAGGAGAGGUUACUUUGGCUCGCAGUUCCCACGGUUUCAGUCCACGGUGAGCUGGCUCUGAGGCGGGCGCAUCAAGGAAGAAGGGCGUGGUGGAGCAGAGCUGCUCACUUCAUGACAGUUCAGGAAGCAGAGCUCCAGGUGAGAGCACCAGGGAGAGACAGAACCUCCACCAGCUGCCACCAGUGACCUCCUCCUCCAGCUGGACCGCACCUAGGUGGCACCCUGGGCUGUGAGCAGCAGUGGAGUAACCCACUGAGGAGAAUGGCACCACCAAUGACCUCUGCAGGAGCCUCUUUAUCCACGCAGGAUGAUGAGAUUAGCUGGGACGACCGUCAUCACUGAAUAUGAUACACCGUACGUACACUCGUGAGCAAAAUUCCUUCAUUUCUCAGCUGGACAGUCACCUUUGUUUUAGAAACCGAAGCUGCUCAGAAGAUUCACUGAACUACUUAUAUUUUGACUGGCAAUUUCUGCUACCUAAACAAGGAAACAUAUGGCUUCAUAUUAAUUUUCUAAAUAAAGAUGCUGGAAAUCAGCACUAAUAAUAUUUUUAGGAAAUAUUACUUCACUGCGUUACAAUAACAGUAAGUAAAACAAUCAUAAUUGAAGACAACAAAAAGGAAUGGAAAUUAUCGCCCCCAAAUGUGAUGGUCUUGAACCUAUCAUCAUUAGCUUUUGGUGAGAAUCAAAUAUUCAGAGUAUUUUCACAUGUGUAGUAAUUCAAAUAUUUUAUUCAUAAAGUUAUUUACACAUAAAUAGGAUAUAUAGGAAUUUUAAGAGAAUUUUUUGUUCAAAUAUUUCUUUAGGGUGACCCCCAAGGUGAUCUGGUGUAGCUUCCUCAUAACAUUUAAAAAAGAAAGCCGAACUCAAGGGAAAUAUUACUGUGUUACAUAAAGGGCAAUGUCCCAAGAGAAGCAGAAAGUUUGAACUCAAGUUCUGUCACUUGCUGAACAAAUUCUGGCUAAUCUUACACCUCAACAUCUCCAAACUUCCAUUUUC
Long non-coding RNA from Fukomys damarensis (Damara mole-rat), 3404 nucleotides. RefSeq lists it as uncharacterized. The transcript is spliced from 4 exons. NCBI's taxonomy places the organism in Eukaryota, Metazoa, Chordata, Mammalia, Rodentia, Bathyergidae. The record is from RefSeq and is a predicted model, not a curated record.